RNAcentral lists this long non-coding RNA (482 nucleotides) under Phoenix dactylifera (date palm). RNAcentral describes it as "long non-coding RNA (PDAC_LNC015333)". The record is from RNAcentral. Lineage: Eukaryota; Viridiplantae; Streptophyta; Magnoliopsida; Arecales; Arecaceae.
AAGUCAACAACAAUUGGUGCCUCGCAAGCUAAACUUUGAGAAAAGGUAUGGGUAUUUAACUAGAAGUCUUUACUUAACAUUACUAUUCAUAUUUCAUUUUAAAGAUUUAAAAGAUCUGGUGAACAUAUCUACUGGAGCUCACCAAAUUUUUAUUGCAUUGCAGGUAAUUGAUUGGAAAGAGGUUGCCGCUUGGAUUAUGCAUACCUUUUUUUGUUCAUUAGAAACUUUUAGUUGUAAACAUCUCUCCAUUUUUGGUACUUUUGUAUACAUUAAUGUGAGAUGAAUGAACCAUUCAAUCAUUGAAAGUUUGGAGAGUUGACAUAUUCUGACUAUAGAUAAUGUAUUAAAAAAUCAUAUAGUAUGUAUUGGCGAAUACCAUGUUUUAAAUAUCAUAUUCUAAAAACUAUAUAUCAAUAUACCUGAAGGUGUGCAUCACUUAGCCAUGUACUAUGUAUUAAUUUACUAAAAGAUAGAUCCCCCUC